Long non-coding RNA from Marmota monax (woodchuck), 4173 nucleotides. RefSeq lists it as uncharacterized. The transcript is spliced from 5 exons. Lineage: Eukaryota; Metazoa; Chordata; Mammalia; Rodentia; Sciuridae. The record is from RefSeq and is a predicted model, not a curated record.
UGAAGGUGGUGCAGCCAAAGGCCAGCUGCAGUACCCGGGCUGUGCCCACUGGGGAUGUCACAGCACCCAGGUGCAGGUAUGCACCCCCGGGGGGCUCCACGGUGCUCCCCAUCUGGCCAGCCACCUCUUGGCUUCACGCAGUGCCCCACAGCCCUGGGGUUCCUGAUGGCCUGGGGGCCCUCUGUCCUCUGCAGUAGUGACAGGUGCCGGCAGCCUGCAGCAGCGGUGACGAUGGUGACAUUGCAGCAGGGCAGCCUCUCUGCUGCCUGAGUGGUGAGCGCCCCCCUCCCUGCAGCUAUAAAUAGACAACCUCCAUCAGAGCCCCGGAAUAGCAGCCUGUGUGCCUGUCCACGUCCAGGAGGAGCAUCUGACCCCUUCGUCCCACGCAGAUUCUCUGCUGGGACGUUAACCCCUGGACUGCCUGAGCACCUGCACCCUUCAGUCCGUUUUCGGCAGACACAACAUCUUUGUUUGUAUGUGGUGCUGAGGAUCGAACCCGGGCCGCACGCAUGCCAGGGACCCUAGGGUCAGAGGAGCUGUCACAGGACCCAAAGAAAAAGGUCUCUCUGUCUCUGUGUGGUUAUGUGGUGCAGCCCAGUUCACCUGGAGUGACCCUGAGUGUUUAGUUGUGAAAUGAGACAGUUCUCGGCGCCUCUGCUUGUUCUUUGGACUUUAUAAUUUUUUUUUCCAAAAUAAAUCAGAUACUUUCUAAACUACUAUAAAGAAGACUAGUUUUAAAAAUUGUCAACUAUAAAAAAUUGUCAUGCUUUAAAACUUAAAAGCUAAUGCAUAUUCUUGUAUGAAUAAAAAAAAAAACUUGCCUUUACAAAAUUUGUGCUUUAAAAAUCGUUUUUUGUACUUGUAGAUGGACAGAAUGACUUUGUUUUGUUUAUUUUUAUGCAAUGCUGAGGAUCAAACCCAGUACCUCACACACGCCAGGCAAGCGCUCUGCCACUGAACUAUAACCCCAGACCCAAAAUUUUCUGUUACAAAAAUUUAAGUUUCUUUCUUUCUUCUCAUUCUCCUUCUAUUUUUCCUUUGUGCCAGGAAUUCAACAUUCAACCCAGGGCCGCUUUACCACUGAGCCACAUCCCCAGUCCAUUUUUUAAAUUUUUGAAUCAGGGUGUUGCUAAGUUGCUAGGCUGGACUGGAACUUGUGAUCCUCCUGCCUCAGCCUCCUGAGUGGCUGGGAAUACAGGCAUGUGCCACUAUACUCAGAGUUUCUUUUUUUAGAACUAUUUUAUUUUGUGGUCCUGAGGAUUGAACCCAAAUGCUCUAAUACUGAGGCACAUCCCCAGCUGUUUUGAUUUUAUUUAUUUUAAUAUUUAUUUUUUAGGUGUAGAUGGACACAACACAAGGCCUGUAUUUUUCUGUGGUGCUAAGGAUCAAACCCGGGUCCUGCCCGCACUCUAUGCUGAGCCACAAUCCCAGCCCUUUUUUUUUAAAUUUUAUUUUGAGACAGACUCUUGCUAAGUUGCCCAGGGUGGCCUUGAACUUGUGAACUUCCUGCCUUGGCCUCCCAAGUCUCUGGGAUCAUACCACCCAGCAAUAUAUUAUUCUUUUCUCUCAUUCUAAUUAACAUUUUCACUAAGUGAAUCUUUCCCUGUGAUUGCACAGUGCCCUACCUUGCUCUAGGCAUUGAGAAACAGACGUGGAGAAAGGAGCCAAAAGUCCUCAUAACUUGGGCCACAAAAGAGGCAAUCGUGGACUGCAAUGUGUUGCAUAGAGACUCCUGAUGAGAUGAGAACGUGGGGCCACUGUGAGGAGGUGACCACAGGAGCUCAGUGAGAAGGCCGGCCCAGUGUGGGGCUGAAAUGUGUCACGGAUGUCGACGUGGAGCUCAGAUCCCACUGUCAGGCUCCUGAACAGUGAAGGUGCGACUCUGGCCAUUCCUGGUGGAGAGGAGAGGCCCAGGUGUGGGUGCCUGUCCUGAGCGUUGCUGCUCCUACAGAAAGUGUGAGACCCCAGCAUGUCUAGAAAGGCUGAGCGCCUAGGGUCUCUGCAAACCUACUGUGCUGUCUCCUUUGGCUGCUGGGACUCCAUGGAUUUCUGCAGGAAGCCAUGUAGGGUGGCCCACGGAGGAGACCUGAGGAAGUGGACUUUGGUGACGAAAGGCCCACAUGGGUCAGGGCAAGGCCUCAGUGUGCUUUGGCCGGACUUAGCAGGGCUACAUCUGCCAGGGCAACACUAGCAGCUGUGGUCCUACUCAGUGCUUCUCAGAGUCAGGGUUGCCUUGAGUUGUUGGCAUGUUAGACCCCUAAGAAAGUCAGGGUCCACAUGGCUGUCCCCACUUUUGGAAUGGAGCUGUAGGUUCCUGAUGUGUGUGGUUGGGAGCCAGAUACAGAGCUCAGGUUGAGCUGUCUCAGGGCCUCUCUAGAGCUUAGGAUAGAACCCGCCCGGCAGGAAGUAGGAGCACUGUCACCUGGAUUCACAUAGAUGGCUUUGCUCAGGAAUUCAGCCCAUGAGGCCCAAGGUCAGUGUUGCUACCACCAACUGUGGCACCAUCAAAACCCCUCCCUAGGGCUGGGUCGUGGCUCCGUGGCUUAACGCGCUGGGUUCCAUCCUUAGCACCACAUAAAACCCAACAAACAAACAAACAAAAAAACUCUCCUCCCUAGGCAAGUGCAGUGGCCCACACCUGUAAUCCCAGCAGCUCGGGAGGCUGAGGCAGGAGGAUCAUGCAUUCAAAGCCAGCCUCAGCAACUUAGGCCCUAUCUAUAAAUAAAACAAAAACAGGCUGGAGUGUAGCUUGGUGUUCAAGUCCAAGUUCAGUCCCCAGGGCCAAAACAGAAAUAAAAAAAUCUCUCUUCUCUGCCUAUGUCCCAACAAUCCUGCUUCUGUGGUUAACGUAAGUGACUGCUUGCCCCCACACUAAGCAAUGUAGACACAAAGCUGUCCACACAUGUCCUUUGCACCCAGUGAGUGUGUGAGACACAAAGCCUGUUGUAGGACCAGGAACAUCUCCCAUCUGAAGCUGUCCUUGUGUCCAAGAUAGUGAGGGGUGGAAACAGCCGGAACAGAAAAUGCACGUAUUUGCUCUUGGAAGUGAAGCAAGGUGGGGAGGGGGCGACUUCACCCUCACAGUUUUGUACCUUUCAAAUUUUUAGCUAUAUGACUGAGUGACAUAGUAAUAAAUAAAUAAAAAUGCAGAAACUUCUCAGAAAAUGUUAGCUGGGUAGGGAAUGGUACUUCUGCAGUGGUAUGUUUUCAAACUAGACAAAGCUGGCCUUGCACAACACUGAAGGUGCUGAUGCCAUCGUCACUGUGAAAAAGCUCAUGCUACUGAUUUAUUUUUGUACUGGGGAUUGAACUCAGGAACACUGUAUCACUGAGCCGCACCCCCCGCCCUAGUCCUUUUGAGACAGGGUUUUUUAAGUUGCCUAAGCGGGCCUCAAACUUGGGAUCCUCUUGCCUCAGCCUCCCAAGUCACUGGAUUACAGGCAUGUGCCCCCGUGCCUGGCUGAUGUUAUUUUCUUACUGUGUGAGGAGCCACUCUGAAUGACCCACAUCUUCCAGUCCUGGAGCAAGAAGCUCUGUCCAGGCACUACAUUUGUGGUGACUUGGGCGUUGUCUGAGCUCCGGUAAAGGCACGUCUUCAGGUGUAGGUAUCAUCCUCAGGGUCGAGUUACACUCAUCUGACCCUGGUAACCCUGCCCCUUCUGACCUUUUUUGGAUGAAACUUUCUAAGAACUAGAGUCCCCCCAAUAAACACUCACUUCCGAACGUGCUCGCUCUCUCUCGCCAGCCUCUCUGGACUUUCUCUUGCUCUCCCUCUUGGGGGGCCUGAGGCCGAGAGUGGAGAAGCCGCCCUGAAGCUUGUGUAAAGUAAAGUGUGUCUGUGUUUUGUUUAGUGUCCCUGCAGAUUCACAGAGUGACCUGAAGGUCAGCUGCCCGCGUGGGCCAGGGGUGGCAUUACUGGACUUUAUUCCAAUUAAAAAAAAAAUAUGGAAAACCUGUGAGCCAUCGUUGUCAAUGUCAGAGAGUCGGGAUUUGCUGAAUGAACAGAGACUCCUCAGGGGUGGAACAAGACUGAGGUGGAGUGGGGGCCACUGAGCACACAAGAAGGGGUCAGUGGUUGUGACCCCCAAGCCCUUCCCAGCCCCUUGUGCCCUUAAGGUGCGAGUUGAGUAGAGCCACCCUUCAAAUAACCAGGUCGAAGCGUGAGCUUCUUUC